UCCUUAUCCAUUUUGUGCGCCACAUUACUUACACGAGAAAAGGUUUCUUAUGAAAUAUUUUUCACGCAUAAAGAGCCACGCCCCUUCUCUUCUCACACCCAAAAGGAUAGGGAUAAGUUGGUUUUCAUUUGAAUUCAAAUUUGAUUUGAAUUCAAAUGUGUAACCUCUUGUCUUUAUCCUCUCACGCGGAUAGGACACGUUCGAUGUUGUUUUAAAAAGAAGAGAAAUGUGGGAUGUGCGUAGAAAUUUUAAGAGAGAAACUUUGGGAUGUGAGGAAGGUCUUUUGCACAAGGUGAAGGUCCAAAACCUUUCGAGAGAAAAAGAAAGAAAAGAGAGAAAAUUGGGCGCAGGGUUUUUGGUGUGUACCCUAGGGUUUCUACCUAGGGUUCGGGAAGUGAGAUUGGUGUGCCACGAGUGUCGUGAGUCCACCAAAUUUUAGGGAGAGAUCCAUCAGCCUCUCAAGCAACUGUGCAAAUGAUCCAGAGCAUCUGAGAAGUCGGCACACAUCG
Molecule: long non-coding RNA, 509 nt
Filed under: Elaeis guineensis (African oil palm)
Lineage: Eukaryota; Viridiplantae; Streptophyta; Magnoliopsida; Arecales; Arecaceae
Description: long non-coding RNA (EGUI_LNC067769)
Source: RNAcentral